AACGAACGCUGGCGGCAGGCUUAACACAUGCAAGUCGAACGCAUGCCUUCGGGCAUGAGUGGCAGACGGGUGAGUAACGCGUGGGAACCUACCCCUUGGUACGGGAUAGCUCCGGGAAACUGGAGAUAAUACCGUAUGUGUCCUGAGGGACAAAGAUUCAUCGCCAAGGGAUGGGCCCGCGUCGGAUUAGCUAGUUGGUGGGGUAACGGCCUACCAAGGCGACGAUCCGUAGCUGGUCUAAGAGGAUGACCAGCCACAUUGGGACUGAGACACGGCCCAAACUCCUACGGGAGGCAGCAGUGGGGAAUAUUGGACAAUGGGCGCAAGCCUGAUCCAGCCAUGCCGCGUGAGUGAUGAAGGCCCUAGGGUUGUAAAGCUCUUUCACCGGUGACGAUAAUGACGGUAACCGGAGAAGAAGCCCCGGCUAACUUCGU
RNAcentral lists this ribosomal RNA (434 nucleotides) under uncultured bacterium. RNAcentral describes it as "partial 16S ribosomal RNA". It matches the Rfam family "Bacterial small subunit ribosomal RNA", at positions 29 to 506 of the family's 1533-position model. The record is from RNAcentral.